UCGGAGGCGGCGGCUCUACAAACUGCGCACGACCCACUAGAUUGAAGUGUAGCAACUUUUGAUUGAGCCAUAAUACAAGUAUUUAGUCCAUCCAUUGCACAGAUUAGAUAGAUGCAGCCAAGUGAAACUAUAGAAAAUAUGUUAGCAAACAGAUGUGCAGAUAACAAGUGAAAACAAAAAAUUGAGCAACCUGACGCAACACACAUUACAUUUUUCACCUUUCAGUAAUUUAUUAUACGGAAAAGUGAACCGAUUUAGCGAGAGUUUAUGCUGCAUAUAAAUUUGGGCUCUUUGAAUAAUAUUUCGGAUAGAUCUUCGCGGGAAGAGAAGCAGUUGGACACAUCAUCAACCAGCAGCAUUUAUUUAUAUUAUGUAUACUAGCUGCGCUCCGGGGCUCCACUCCUGUACAAAUUUCGGGAUAAGAAAUGCCAUAUGUGCUAUUCCACUCAUUGGUCCUGUAUGUGUCCUGGAUAACAGCCGAAGAAAAUGCAAUGUAGACAAGAGUGUAAGCGAGGUCCCGGUUGCCUGCAUACAAAGCACAGACAUGAUGUAGCCUACAACAAAAUGAAAUUAUAUGAGCAAGAUUAAAAC
Long non-coding RNA from Plodia interpunctella (Indianmeal moth), 591 nucleotides. RefSeq lists it as uncharacterized. The transcript is spliced from 3 exons. The record is from RefSeq and is a predicted model, not a curated record. NCBI's taxonomy places the organism in Eukaryota, Metazoa, Arthropoda, Insecta, Lepidoptera, Pyralidae.